Molecule: ribosomal RNA, 256 nt
Filed under: uncultured bacterium
Lineage: Bacteria
Description: partial 16S ribosomal RNA
Rfam family: Bacterial small subunit ribosomal RNA
Source: RNAcentral
UACAGAGGGGGCAAGCGUUAUUCGGAAUUAUUGGGCGUAAAGGGUGCGUAGGCGGCAUGAUAAGUUAUUGGCGGCAAAUCGAGGCUCAACCUCGUGGAAACUGAUAAUACUGUCUUGCUUGAGUGCAGAAGAGGUUAACGGAACUCCAUGUGGAGCGGUAAAAUGUGUAGAUAUAUGGAAGAACAUCAAUAACGGCGAAGGCAGUUAACUAUUCUGUUACUGACGUUGAGGCACGAAAGCGUGGGGAGCAAAACGG